UUGAUCCUGGCUCAGGAUGAACGCUGGCGGCGUGCUUAACACAUGCAAGUCGAACGGUGAAGCAGGAGCUUGCUCUUGUGGAUCAGUGGCGAACGGGUGAGUAACACGUGAGCAACCUGCCCCUGACUCUGGGAUAAGCGCUGGAAACGGCGUCUAAUACUGGAUAUGUGACGUGACCGCAUGGUCUGCGUUUGGAAAGAUUUUUCGGUUGGGGAUGGGCUCGCGGCCUAUCAGCUUGUUGGUGAGGUAAUGGCUCACCAAGGCGUCGACGGGUAGCCGGCCUGAGAGGGUGACCGGCCACACUGGGACUGAGACACGGCCCAGACUCCUACGGGAGGCAGCAGUGGGGAAUAUUGCACAAUGGGCGAAAGCCUGAUGCAGCAACGCCGCG
RNAcentral lists this ribosomal RNA (391 nucleotides) under Listeria monocytogenes. RNAcentral describes it as "bacterial SSU rRNA". It matches the Rfam family "Bacterial small subunit ribosomal RNA", at positions 13 to 401 of the family's 1533-position model. Lineage: Bacteria; Bacillati; Bacillota; Bacilli; Caryophanales; Listeriaceae. The record is from RNAcentral.